GCCCGUCUGUAUUUACUCAAUAGGUAGGACCCCAGUCACGGCUACCCUCCACCAUGCCCGUCUGUAUUUACUCAAUAGGUAGGACCCCAGUCACGGCUACCCUCCACCAUGCCCGUCUGUAUUUACUCAAUAGGUAGGACCCCAGUCACGGCUACCCUCCACCAUGCCCGUCUGUAUUUACUCAAUAGGUAGGACCCCAGUCACGGCUACCCUCCACCAUGCCCGUCUGUAUUUACUCAAUAGGUAGGACCCCAGUCACGGCUACCCUCCACCAUGCCCGUCUGUAUUUACUCAAUAGGUAGGACCCCAGUCACGGCUACCCUCCACCAUGCCCGUCUGUAUUUACUCAAUAGGUAGGACCCCAGUCACGGCUACCCUCCACCAUGCCCGUCUGUAUUUA
Molecule: long non-coding RNA, 400 nt
Organism: Oncorhynchus keta (chum salmon)
Lineage: Eukaryota; Metazoa; Chordata; Actinopteri; Salmoniformes; Salmonidae
Exons: 3
Source: RefSeq, a predicted model, not a curated record